CAUCCCAUCCUACAACUUUUACAUUUAGUUAGAUACUUGGGUUGAAAACAGAUUCUAAACAAACACUGACAUCCCAUCCUACAACUUUUACAUUUAGUUAGAUACUUGGGUGGAAAACAGAUUAUAAACAAACACUGACAUCUCAUCCUACAACUUUUACAUUUAGUUAGAUACUUGUGUGGACAACAGAUUCUAAACAAACACUGAUAUCCCAUCUUACAACUUUUACAUUUAGUUAGAUACAUGGGUUGAAAACAGAUUCUAAACAAACACUGACAUCCCAUCCAGAAUAAAUUUGUCCACAUUUUAUCCACUUGAACCACUUAAGCUGAUGUUCAGCAUCUGAUCCUAGGUACCAUCUCGGUAUCGGAGGAAUUUGACCAUUGACCUUCACUGCAUUCGCUUGGGCCUCACAACGACUUCCAUAAGAAGCCAGCGUAAACUUAUCUUCGUGAUAGCAACAUCUUGUGUCCACUAUCAUUCCGAAUUCAAUUUCGUUAUCUGGUAUUCAAAGUAACUGUUCUGUUACUGUAACAGAGACUGUUUUAGGUGAUUUUUCUUCUUCAACAAGUACUACUCAGUGGGUGGAAAACUAAUCGAUAAUAUUUUGAAAGAAAAUAUCUGACGUUGACCACAAUCUUUGCUAAGUGUAUUUACGUUUAACAUUUCAAUUUUUUAAGCGGUUAUUGUUUUAUAUAAAUUGAAGAGAAAAAAAUCACCUCAAAAUUUUCAGCAGAUAUAGAAGACAGAUAACACUAAGCAAAAUUUCUGAUGACACAACUUUACUCCUGGUGGUCAUAACAAUAACUUAACAUAAAAGAGUUGUAAGAAAAUAUACAUGUUCGAUUCCUUAAAACUACCAAUUGAGAAUUAUUUCCAUCAGGUGAGAUGAUUUAAAAAAAGGCAACUCAGGUAUAAAUACUGUGGUGUACACAGAAGUUUCAAACUAAAACUUACUGAAUCGAGCUAAUUAACUUUACGUGGCUAUCUUCAAAAGGUUUAUAACACAGCAUCAGAUAAUUCUCGUCAGAACAUUUCUUGUCCCAACAAAAGCCGGUGUUAUUGUUACUCAUCACCACUGCGGAAAAACUACGAAACAUGUGUACUCGUGUGAAUAUGACCGAGAUUCACUGUGACGUCACGUUCCCGGGAUUUGAGCUGCCUGCGUAGAUCUUGCGCAGUAAGUUGUAUUAGCUGUUGCAGGCAACAGCAAGGCGAGUGGCUGGAUAACUUAUUGCAAACAUUUUGGUGCUUUUCAGGUAUCGAAGCUCGCAAAAUUUGUGAUAUUCAUCUACAAUAGCAUUAGGAAUACGCAGAGUUCUGUAGCAGCAGAGAGGCUCGCUGAUUAUCGUGGAGGAACUGACGCUAGUCCUAGCGUAUCUCUAAAAGACAUAGACGGGACAAUUACCGGUAGCAUGUCCGGCUGCAUCACUGGAGGCCAGGAGACUGAUCCGUCACCUAGCUCAAGUCAUCAUGAUCAACCAACAAGUAGAGAAACUUCUAAGAUGCUUGGUGUCCCUGAUCUUCUCUUUGUGCACACGUGCCUUGAAAUCCAUAGGAGUCAAGUCCAGAAAUCUUGGGAUCCAUUCCUAGCAACCACAUCUGCCUAUCCAAUGUCCUGGGAAGAGGUCAUUCAACCAAACUCGGACUUCCGAGCUGCAAAUCACCUAUUGUUCCAGACUUUUCGGACACUUUGUAGUUGUGUAAAUUAAAAUAUUAAAACAUGCUUGAACAUUAUUAUCAGUAGUAAGUUUACAGAUUUAGAACGUUAAAAUUUGGGGAUCUAUCCCUGCCAGUGGGCAAAGUGCAGAUAGUUUAUAUUGUAGCUCUCCCUAACUUUAUGAUUUGUUGAGUAACCUUUGAUUCCUUUCAUACUUCUGUUAAGUUCAGCUUGAACUCCAACAUGAGACGGUCACCUUGAUAGGUUUCUGAUAAUUAUCUGGUGGCUGUCAUUGUGUAUGUGUUUUAAUAACGUCUGUACUUACUAAGUUACAACUUUAAGAAAAUGAAAUAUUAUAAAACACAUCAAGUCCAUAUCUAAUUAUCAAAAUGUAACUGUUUCAGGUAACUUACACUUUUACAAGUGUUUUAGGACUUAUUUUCUUAAGUUAGCAAGGAAGAGUGUUGUGAAUAAGUCAGAUUGUAAAUGUGCACCAUGGAUCAAUCCUGUAUUGGAGAAGUUAUGUUGAUUAUAAUUCCGAAUAUCUGAAAUGUAUCUUCGUGAAAUGUGGCAAGUUUUUAAUCAACAGUACAGAUCUGUUGUACGCAAAAAAAAAUCAGAUGUGUUACUAAAGUUUUUGUACUAAAGAAGUGCGUGUGAAAUGUCUGACUCGGACUAUGAUAACUGCAUGGUGAUGUUCACGUGAAGACUGACUUUGGUAUUCCAAACAUAUCUUAAGUCCAAAUCUUUAGUAGCACAUCAGAGAUUUUUUUGUUGACUAAAAACUUGUCUCGUUUCAUAAAGUCACAUGCAAUAAAUUCAGAAUUAAAGUUAACAUUACUUACUCGAUACUUACUCGUCCAAUGGCCAUUCAGUUAAUGAUUGGCUGCUGAAGUUGGGAUAAUUAAUUGUAUGGAAUAUAGAU
RNAcentral lists this unclassified non-coding RNA (2585 nucleotides) under Limulus polyphemus (Atlantic horseshoe crab). RNAcentral's name for it is "uncharacterized LOC111083953, transcript variant X3". The record is from RNAcentral. Lineage: Eukaryota; Metazoa; Arthropoda; Merostomata; Xiphosura; Limulidae.